RNAcentral lists this ribosomal RNA (530 nucleotides) under uncultured bacterium. RNAcentral describes it as "bacterial SSU rRNA". It matches the Rfam family "Bacterial small subunit ribosomal RNA", at positions 355 to 896 of the family's 1533-position model. The record is from RNAcentral.
UGGGGAAUAUUGCACAAUGGGCGGAAGCCUGAUGCAGCGACGCCGCGUGGGGGAUGAAGGCCUUCGGGUUGUAAACUCCUUUCGACAGGGACGAAGCGUAAGUGACGGUACCUGUAUAAGAAGCACCGGCUAACUACGUGCCAGCAGCCGCGGUAAUACGUAGGGUGCGAGCGUUGUCCGGAAUUACUAGGCGUAAAGAGCUCGUAGGUGGUUUGUCGCGUCGUCUGUGAAAUUCCGGGGCUUAACUCCGGGCGUGCAGGCGAUACGGGCUGACUUGAGUGCUGUAGGGGAGACUGGAAUUCCUGGUGUAGCGGUGAAAUGCGCAGAUAUCAGGAGGAAUACCGAUGGCGAAGGCAGGUCUCUGGGCAGUAACUGACGCUGAGGAGCGAAAGCAUGGGUAGCGAACAGGAUUAGAUACCCUGGUAGUCCAUGCCGUAAACGGUGGGCGCUAGGUGUAGGGGGCUUCCACGUCUUCUGUGCCGUAGCUAACGCAUUAAGCGCCCCGCCUGGGGAGUACGGCCGCAAGGCUA